CCUACGGGGGGCAGCAGUGGGGAAUAUUGGACAAUGGGGGGAACCCUGAUCCAGCCAUGCCGCGUGUGUGAAGAAGGCCCUCGGGUUGUAAAGCACUUUCAGUGAGGAAGAACGCCUGGUGGUUAAUACCCAUCAGGAAAGACAUCACUCACAGAAGAAGCACCGGCUAACUCCGUGCCAGCAGCCGCGGUAAUACGGAGGGUGCGAGCGUUAAUCGGAAUUACUGGGCGUAAAGCGCGCGUAGGUGGCUUGAUAAGCCGGUUGUGAAAGCCCCGGGCUCAACCUGGGAACGGCAUCCGGAACUGUCAAGCUAGAGUGCAGGAGAGGAAGGUAGAAUUCUAGGUGUAGCGGUGAAAUGCGUAGAGAUCGGGAGGAAUACCAGUGGCGAAGGCGGCCUUCUGGACUGACACUGACACUGAGGUGCGAAAGCGUGGGUAGCAAACAGGAUUAGAUACCCUAGUAGUC
Molecule: ribosomal RNA, 465 nt
Filed under: Vreelandella stevensii
Lineage: Bacteria; Pseudomonadati; Pseudomonadota; Gammaproteobacteria; Oceanospirillales; Halomonadaceae
Description: partial 16S ribosomal RNA
Rfam family: Bacterial small subunit ribosomal RNA
Source: RNAcentral